This 76-nucleotide transfer RNA is filed under the name Clostridiaceae bacterium. RNAcentral describes it as "tRNA-Phe". It matches the Rfam family "tRNA". Rfam says of the family: Transfer RNA (tRNA) molecules are approximately 80 nucleotides in length. Their secondary structure includes four short double-helical elements and three loops (D, anti-codon, and T loops). The record is from RNAcentral. Lineage: Bacteria; Bacillati; Bacillota; Clostridia; Eubacteriales; Clostridiaceae.
GCCCAGAUAGCUCAGUAGGUAGAGCAACGGACUGAAAAUUCGUGUGUCGUUGGUUCGAUUCCGACUCUGGGCACCA